Molecule: long non-coding RNA, 275 nt
Filed under: Fukomys damarensis (Damara mole-rat)
Lineage: Eukaryota; Metazoa; Chordata; Mammalia; Rodentia; Bathyergidae
Description: lncRNA (ENSFDAG00000032553.1)
Source: RNAcentral
UAAAGAUGCCAUGGGUUAUUGCAAAAGCAAUAGCUUUGCCACCUUCUAUGACAACACUGUAACCCCAGAAUGCUGAUAGAUGGGACUCCAUGGCACACCCUUCAGCUAUUGUGCAUCCAAAACCGAUUAUGGAAAUGAUGCUGAAAACAACCAUGAGUAGUUAGACAAGAAAAAGUGUAAGAAGCAAGUGACCCUUUGCUCCUAGGAGUGAAAAUAUCCGUCAGCACAAGAAUUGCAGCUAUUAUACAAAUAUGAAGUAAAUAAAUGGAAAAGAG